GCUGCUAUGGUCUAACGGUAUGAUGCUCGUUUCCCAUCGGAGAAAAUCCGGUACCAAUCUGCGGGCGACGCGGGUUCGACUCCCGCUGGCAGCA
Molecule: transfer RNA, 94 nt
Filed under: Drechslerella stenobrocha 248
Lineage: Eukaryota; Fungi; Ascomycota; Orbiliomycetes; Orbiliales; Orbiliaceae
Rfam family: tRNA
About the family: Transfer RNA (tRNA) molecules are approximately 80 nucleotides in length. Their secondary structure includes four short double-helical elements and three loops (D, anti-codon, and T loops).
Source: Rfam by way of RNAcentral